GCUCAGUUGGUAGAGCAUGGUGUUUGCAACGCCAGCAUGGUGGUUGCAACGCCAGGGUUGUGGGUUCGAUUCCCAC
RNAcentral lists this transfer RNA (76 nucleotides) under Salmo salar (Atlantic salmon). It matches the Rfam family "tRNA", at positions 10 to 63 of the family's 71-position model. Rfam says of the family: Transfer RNA (tRNA) molecules are approximately 80 nucleotides in length. Their secondary structure includes four short double-helical elements and three loops (D, anti-codon, and T loops). Further hydrogen bonds mediate the characteristic L-shaped molecular structure. tRNAs have two regions of fundamental functional importance: the anti-codon, which is responsible for specific mRNA codon recognition, and the 3' end, to which the tRNAs corresponding amino acid is attached (by aminoacyl-tRNA synthetases). tRNAs cope with the degeneracy of the genetic code in two manners: having more than one tRNA (with a specific anti-codon) for a particular amino acid; and 'wobble' base-pairing, i.e. permitting non-standard base-pairing at the 3rd anti-codon position. RNAcentral also lists the same sequence under 1 other name. The record is from Rfam by way of RNAcentral. Lineage: Eukaryota; Metazoa; Chordata; Actinopteri; Salmoniformes; Salmonidae.